This 1359-nucleotide long non-coding RNA is filed under the name Homo sapiens (human). RNAcentral describes it as "HSALNT0337033". The record is from RNAcentral. Lineage: Eukaryota; Metazoa; Chordata; Mammalia; Primates; Hominidae.
UAGCAAGGUGGUGAGGCAAUCUGCCUUUUAUUCCCCUUUCAAGCUAUGAGAAGUAGGCAAAUGAUGCGGCUGAACAAUGCCUCCUUGACUUCAGGAUAUAAAAACUACUUUCAUGAGCUUCAAGUCAGGCCUUUGUCCUAUGUCUGGAGACUUCUUGGAAGCUGGAGCACACAAAUAGCUACAGCAAACUUGAGGAAUGGGCAUGAAUAGACUGGCUUCGGGGAACCUGCCAGCUUGGCCGUGUGGCCAAGGUAAUAGGCAAGCCAAGGCAGAGCUAGAGCUCAGAGCUGGAGGGGAAAUUAAAGCAGCAAAUGUAGAAACAUUAAGCCUGAAGAGGCGACGACGUUGAAUUCUAAAAUGCAGGCCAAAGCUCAGACUGCAAGCUGUCUGGCUGCUCCGGGUGUGCCCAGAAGUCAAAGUCCAGCAGGGGCAAAGGUGGAGGUGUGGUCCUGCACGUGGGGUGUUGGGGGGAUGUGGAAGAGGAGGUGCUUUAAGAUCCAGAGAUUCCAGCUGCCCUGGUGCACCCUUGGAAGAAUAAAAGGCUAGGAACUGGACAAGUCAGGCUCGAGUCCAAGCUGCCUGAGGAAUCGGGGAAAGAAUGGAGCUCAGAGUGGGAGGUCAGGGCAGUAUUUAAAAAUCCAGGAUAGCAGCAAAGCUGGCGGUGGCCCCUGACUCUGGUAAGGGCAGCCUGCAGCACCAUGCCAAGGGGGGCCUGACUGAUCAUGCCCUGCAUUUGCAAACAAGGAUUAGUAGGGUAUGAGUAGGAUUCUGCUGGUGCCUGGGAAGGCAGUGCCAUCUACAACUUUACAAAGUUUUAACAAAGGCCUGAAGGACACAACCUUCCCCAAAGUCCUGACGUCGCUGUUUGCUGGCAACAAAUAGAGUCAAAAGAAGAGAGGCACAGAAUGUGCCAGGGGUGUGCUGCGUACAGCCCCGAUGACCACAAGGCCUUCUUGGGUCAAGUUCUGCCAUCUCUGGUUAAGAUGGGCUCACCCUCUAGGACCCUGAUUGAGUCCUCGGACCACCAAGAGUGCCCCACCAAGAGCCUCCCUCUUCUGGUGACUCGUGCCUGCUUCCCGUGGAGAGCUCCAGAAGGGAGGAAACUGUGAGGAGGUGGAGAACGUGGCAGGGAUCCUAACUUUCUUACUGAAGGAAGUUCUUCACAAGUACCCAUCUGCCUUCAGGGAAGAAAACAUAACUCAUUUUGGUCUUUCAAAUUCAGUUCUCAAAACCAAAUCCUGUUGUCAGCAAUCUGUGUCCCAACGCCUUCUUCAGCAACAGCAUUUUCCCUGUGGAAUUAGUUUCCAAUGUUCUUUCUUAAAUAAACCACUGAAGAUUAAAAGGAAUCCAGAUACCCAC